UACAUGGUGGUGUAAGGCACAAAAAAUUUUGAUUUUUUAGGUUUAGGUAAAAGUCCUUUCCAUGUAU
Molecule: transfer RNA, 67 nt
Filed under: Pisidia serratifrons
Lineage: Eukaryota; Metazoa; Arthropoda; Malacostraca; Decapoda; Porcellanidae
Description: tRNA-Gln
Rfam family: tRNA
About the family: Transfer RNA (tRNA) molecules are approximately 80 nucleotides in length.
Source: RNAcentral